CCUGGGGACUAGCGGAGACUGCGGAACCCGCCCUGGGCUGGGAGACGGGCAGCUGGGCCGCGCGUGGAUUUCUCUCACCACCCAGCUCCCCUCUCUGUCCCGGGCUCCUCGCUGGUUCCUUUCACCUGGAGGGAGGAGAACGCGCACGCGCGCUCAGGCCAGGAGAGUGUGUCCUAAAAUCCUGCUAGAGCUCUCGGGUUCCACACAUGUAGCUGCUACCUGCCAGGAACUGGCGAGUAUGGCUUGUGUCCCCAGAUCGCAUGGCAACCAACAUUUCCAAGUGGAGGAGGUGAUGAACGCCCUGUCUUGGCCACGGCAGGGGACAGGACACGCGGUCCGUCUGCACCGACUUCUUGAAGUGUGACCUCGGGGACACCAGGGGCACGUGGGCUGGGGAAAACACCGAAUCGGGUUAAAAGCCGGACAACACGACGACCGGGUUGGCGACGCGACGGUCCGGGGAGCACAGUGAACACACACACUCUUCUCGGAGUCUCUUUUCACGGAAAGUCUCCCCCUUCACUUCAUCCCCCGUGGGAAGAGUUGGGUCUUGAACUCUUUGUGAAAUCUUCAAACACAUAAUAAGAAUUAAUCACCAUUAGUUCUCGAUUUUAACAGCUGCCUGCUACCUCGAUCGCCGGCUGCAGCUGCGCACUCCUUUCCCUCUGCUGACAUCAUAAUCCCAUUACAGCUGGGAACUUGCACACAUAAAAUGCAGAUUUAAGCUGAUUUUGAAACAACUUAUACUUGUUAAUUGCUCCAAUCUAUAUCGCAAGCAUAAAAUCCCGGCUUUCAUGUGGCUCCUCCUUGCCAGAGACGGGCGCGUUCUCUUUCUUUCUCGGGGUUAAGAGUGGACCCCAGUGCCCAGCCAUAUGUGGCAGCCUCCAAGUCACCGACGCGCUCGUGGCCCAAAGUCGUCCAGCAGUGGCAUCUGUCCAUCUGCUCCUUGCUCAUCUGUUUCCCCAAAAGGACUCGACUGGCAGCUAAGAAAAUGUCUUGGAACCAGGUGAGGCUGGGAGAGCUCUGCCCCGGCUGCAGCCCCCUCACUGCUCAGGACCGGCUCUCUCUUUUCUCCAUGAGGAGAUUCCAGCACUCGUUUGCUCGGCUUGCUGAGUCAAGUGGGAGAAAUUGACUUCCUGGUUGGGUCUGUGCCCUUGUUCAACAAGACCCUUCCCGGACACGCUCCUGGCCAUCCCUUGUAUUUAGGUCCUGUUUUCCCACAAGCUUGUGCGUGGCCUGCAGCUUGAUCCCUGAGUGUCUUCAGCCUGCGAUGGUGCAGGUUAUUCAAUGUAGUGAAAAGUAA
RNAcentral lists this long non-coding RNA (1303 nucleotides) under Felis catus (domestic cat). Its description in RNAcentral is "lncRNA (ENSFCAG00000052474.1)". The record is from RNAcentral. Lineage: Eukaryota; Metazoa; Chordata; Mammalia; Carnivora; Felidae.